This 448-nucleotide ribosomal RNA is filed under the name uncultured bacterium. RNAcentral's name for it is "bacterial SSU rRNA". It matches the Rfam family "Bacterial small subunit ribosomal RNA", at positions 335 to 799 of the family's 1533-position model. The record is from RNAcentral.
ACUCCUACGGGAGGCAGCAGUGGGGAAUCUUGGACAAUGGGGGCAACCCUGAUCCAGCCAUGCCGCGUGAGUGAUGAAGGCCUUAGGGUCGUAAAGCUCUUUCGCCUGUGAAGAUAAUGACGGUAGCAGGUAAAGAAACCCCGGCUAACUCCGUGCCAGCAGCCGCGGUAAUACGGAGGGGUUAGCGUUGUUCGGAAUUACUGGGGCGUAAAGCGCACGUAGGCGGAUCGGAAAGUUGGGGGUGAAAUCCCGGGGCUCAACCCCGGAACGGCCUCCAAAACUAUCGGUCUAGAGUUCGAGAGAGGUGAGUGGAAUUCCGAGUGUAGAGGUGAAAUUCGUAGAUAUUCGGAGGAACACCAGUGGCGAAGGCGGCUCACUGGCUCGAUACUGACGCUGAGGUGCGAAAGUGUGGGGAGCAAACAGGAUUAGAUACCCUGGUAGGACAGUG